UCGAAUCCUGCAUAGCAGAACCACUCGAGAACAUGUUAACAAACCCAAGGAGACACCGAAUGUAGGGGAUACCUUGCGCUCGAUUGUCUCCUCACGUUGCCAUGGCAUAUGUCGUGGCGACAAACAAACCCCCGGCGCGAGAAGCGCCAAGGAAUACUUUUAACAAGAUCCUUAACCGUCCUCUCCCGCUCGCGGGGCUUAGGGGAUCGGAGAAGGCUUCUUUCUAAACCAC
RNAcentral lists this unclassified non-coding RNA (232 nucleotides) under Echium stenosiphon. RNAcentral's name for it is "ITS1". The record is from RNAcentral. Lineage: Eukaryota; Viridiplantae; Streptophyta; Magnoliopsida; Boraginales; Boraginaceae.